GCACUGCUGAGGAGUCCCAUAACAAGACGAAACAGCCGUCCAGUAC
Molecule: non-coding RNA, 46 nt
Organism: Schistosoma rodhaini
Lineage: Eukaryota; Metazoa; Platyhelminthes; Trematoda; Strigeidida; Schistosomatidae
Source: Rfam